RNA transcript from Pipistrellus kuhlii (Kuhl's pipistrelle), 2595 nucleotides. RefSeq lists it as uncharacterized. The record is from RefSeq and is a predicted model, not a curated record. Lineage: Eukaryota; Metazoa; Chordata; Mammalia; Chiroptera; Vespertilionidae. The transcript has 2 exons.
GAGGGCAAGGAGUGGAGAGCAUAAAUGAGACUUAGGUAGUUGAGACCUAAGCUGUAAGUGAGGCAAGGUUGAGGAAACAAGCCCCAACCAGAUGACCUCAGCUGCUGGGUCACCCCCUGAACCCCUCUCUGCAUUUACGGGAAAGGUAAGAAAGCCAGAGAAUGGUCUCAGGUCAAGCCAGAACAUUUCACCUGGGGGGUGGGGAGUGGGUUUGUCUACAUGAAUUCUCUGGGAUUUUCCUGGACCCUCAGCCAUCGCCCUGAGGGCAUUGUGUGUCUGGUUUCUGCCUCCUAACAGCAACCCUUCCUGUGACACCUAACGUGCCCCAUAAAUGGGAUAAUUGUGCAUCUUGGGUGGGUAGAAAUGCCAACAGACUCCAUGUGAAGGAACAUAGUUGGGAGGGAUGUCGUUCCAUUAUGAGCAGGACAUUGUCUCACAUUUCUGGAGGUGAAAGUCAUUUUUCUUUCCAGUUGAAGAGGGAACCGUACUUGGUUCUUUGGGUGAAGUAAGUUGGUGAAAGCAAGCUCAGGUAUCUCUUCACCAAACGAAUGAACUCCUGGAGCCAAAAGGCGACAUUCUGUUUUUGUUCUCUGGAAUACUUGUGGUUAGUCCUGGAGGUGGCUGAAGGACUUCUUUUCCCGCCAGGAUGUGCUCCCUCCAGGCUGGGAGCUGUCUCCAUCCACCUCACCCAGUUCCCAGCUAGUGUGUGAUAGGUGCUCAAGCAGUGUUAGGGUGCCGAUGCUAUCAGGGACGUUUUGUCUGAUUUCAAAGAAUUUUAAAGGAAAUGUUUAAAACUAAAAAUCCUGGGUUCAUCCAAUUCCCUUGGUUCUUAAUUCUGUACUGCAGGGAUCACAACUUGCAUCCUUUGUAAGAAGGUUGCUUCUGUUAUGGGGAACUAGUAAGGCCGUGUAAAGUACAGAAGUUCCUUUCCAAAAGGUGGUAAUGAGACAAAUUAAAUGGUAAAGGGUGACCAUGGUUAAUGGGGUGCUUCUGUUAAACUGCCUCUUCAAAAUGAGUUGGUUUUGUAUUUAUUAGUUAAAUAUGUGUUAUGACUUGUCCACUUAAAACAACCUCCAGGCCGGUGUUAGCUCCCUGGUUGCAAGGGCUGGUUCCAGGUUGGCACAUGCUUGGUCCCCAGUAGGAGUUGUGCAGGAGGCAGCCAAUUGAUCGUUAAUGUUUCUAACUCUCCCUCUGUCUGGAAUCAAAAAUAUAUUUACAAAGAACAAUACCGGAGCAGUUUCAGGUACUGAAUGAAGUCUCUAGGGAUCCUGAUGCCCUGCUUAUUAUUGGGAAAGUUAUUUCUGUAGGUGAGGUUUUUGACAAUUUUGUGAAGAGCCAGCAAAGGCAGCUAGCUCUUCCUCUGGUGAGAGAACUACAGCUUGGUCCUUUUUUACAGAUCUGGGAUCGGGGGAAGGCAGGGUGAGUGGAGGGAGAGGUUCCUCUAACAUGGUCAUCACAGUUAACUGCGGGAAGGGUGCGGAAUGGAAUGAGAUACCAAGAAGAGGUGUUGAGAGAACCAAGAUCCUGCACAAUUUCUCUGCUGUGACUUCUGGAGGUUUUUAUUUCCACUUGGAGAUUUUUGCUAUGGGUGUUCUUUAGGACUGCCUGGUCUUCUGGUCUUCCUCUAAAUCGGGGGUAACUCACCUGAGGGUUACUAAUGACGGGGAAGUAUAAGGAACACUUGUCCUGCCAAAAUGCCAGUGUCCCCGUGAGCCGAACUUCUCUCAAUACUUCCAGAGUAUUAGCUCUUCUGUAAUGUGGUCCAGGCCCUUGGGCUGCAAACAUGACUUGGUUCCCUGCAGAGUAGUCUUCUGGAUGGAAAGGGGGGCGUCUGUGGAUCUGGUUUACCUCUUUACUUAUGUAGGAACGUUUGUGUAAUUAAAAUUAGGUAUGAAACUUUAAUUUCACAAGUUUUUUGCUUUACUAGGUCUAGUAAGUGUGUGUUCAGUCACCAUGAGUAAACAUGCACCUGCUGCGGAACAUCCAGCCUGGCCAGAGUAAGAGUCCUGGCUGGUGUGACCUGCCCAGGUGUGGGCUGGAUCUCCAAUAGGGGGCUGGCAGGAAGUAGCCAUCCCCAUUUCUCUCUCUCCCUUCCUCUAUCUCUAAAACCAAUAAAAAUAUUAAACUGCUGCAUAAGUCACACGACAAUCGAACUAGUUAUCAUGAUGCAGUGUGAUUACAUGCUAAUCAUUCCCUGAACAUUGUUUACAAGCAGUGUGGACUGUAAUUGUAGCUAUGUAAUGCUUGUUGGUGAAAUUACUAGUGUUUUCCCCACUGUAUGGCCUAUUUGCUAAAUUUUGUUAAAAGUAACUGAAUAACCUGUUGCUUUAAUUAUAGGCUGAUAUUGGUUAUUAAUAGGGUGUUCCUUUUCACAUAUGAUAUACUGACUAGAAAUUUUGUCCAUUCAAUCUGAAGUCUAUUAAAUCAGGGUCCAUAAAAUUGAGGUGUUUACUGUAUCGUCUAGCUAAAAACUAGAAAUCUUGUUUCAUUUUUGCCCUUUCUGUGCAUAUUUUAAAGUAAAUCUCAAACAUAUACUAUUUUAUCUGCAUCUAUUAAGUCUUCGCCUUAGGGUUUAUUUUCUAUAAGGGAGGGAGA